GACGAACGCUGGCGGCGUGCUUAACACAUGCAAGUCGAACGGGCCUUGUCCCCUUUUUUUUUGGGGGUGGGGUUAGUGGCGAACGGGUGAGUAACACGUGAGUAACCUGCCCCUCACUUCUGGAUAACCGCUUGAAAGGGUGGCUAAUACGGGGUGUUCUGGCCUGCUCGCAUGGGUGGGUUUGGAAAGAUUCGACCGGUUUUGGUUGUUUUGGUGGGGGAUGGGCUCGCGGCCUAUCAGCUUGUUGGUGGGGUGAUGGCCUGCCAAGGCUUUGACGGGUAGCCGGCCUGAGAGGGUGGGCGGUCACACUGGGACUGAGACACGGCCCAGACUCCUACGGGAGGCAGCAGUGGGGAAUAUUGCACGAUGGGCGCAAGCCUGAUGCAGCGACGCCGCGUGAGGGAUGGAGGUCUUCGGGUUGUGAACCUCUUUCGCCAGUGAAGAAGGUCCUGCUCUUUGUGGUGGGGUUGACGGUAGCUGGGUUAAUGAAGCGCCGGCUAACUACGUG
RNAcentral lists this ribosomal RNA (508 nucleotides) under uncultured bacterium. RNAcentral's name for it is "partial 16S ribosomal RNA". It matches the Rfam family "Bacterial small subunit ribosomal RNA", at positions 28 to 507 of the family's 1533-position model. The record is from RNAcentral.